UCAGCCAAAGAGGCAAAGCUGCUGCACAGAGAGCAGCACAGGCCUGGAGGUGCCAUGGAGCCUCCUGGGGGCCAAAGGGAGCCCCAAAACGGGGAGUUGGGAGGCUGGGGGACCUGUGGGUGACAGCAAAGUGUGAUUCAGGUGUUCCCCUGGUGUGACUCAGGUAUUCCACCUGCUGAGUGCUGCUCCCAGAUAGAGGAUUCCAGUGGGAAGAGCAGCACCAGGAACUGUGUGGAAAAAUUCCCCCAGUCUCCUUCUGGAUGAAUGCAGCGGAUUUCUGGAUCCAGAAGGGGAAGAUUCCUGCUCUGCUGCUCCAGACUCCUGAGCAUCCACCCAUCCUCCUCAGCCAACCUACUUUGUAUUAACAGCAAUUCAAAUGUUAACAGCUGCUGUCCAUGUUCGUCAAAAAGCAGCUUAAUACAAAUAUAUGAUUAUUGUAUGAGCAUUGUAUAAAAGAUACUUGGUUGUGUCUUAAGCUAAAACAACAAUAUACACUUUUAUCCAA
Molecule: non-coding RNA, 505 nt
Organism: Cyanistes caeruleus (blue tit)
Lineage: Eukaryota; Metazoa; Chordata; Aves; Passeriformes; Paridae
Source: RefSeq, a predicted model, not a curated record